RNAcentral lists this ribosomal RNA (478 nucleotides) under uncultured bacterium. RNAcentral describes it as "bacterial SSU rRNA". It matches the Rfam family "Bacterial small subunit ribosomal RNA", at positions 330 to 800 of the family's 1533-position model. The record is from RNAcentral.
CCUUUAGCUCUACGGGAGGCAGCAGUGGGGAAUUUUGGACAAUGGGCGCAAGCCUGAUCCAGCCAUGCCGCGUGUCUGAAGAAGGCCUUCGGGUUGUAAAGGACUUUUGUCAGGGAAGAAAAGGCUGUUGCUAAUAUCGACAGCUGAUGACGGUACCUGAAGAAUAAGCACCGGCUAACUACGUGCCAGCAGCCGCGGUAAUACGUAGGGUGCGAGCGUUAAUCGGAAUUACUGGGCGUAAAGCGAGCGCAGACGGUUACUUAAGCAGGAUGUGAAAUCCCCGGGCUCAACCUGGGAACUGCGUUCUGAACUGGGUGACUAUAGUGUGUCAGAGGGAGGUAAAAUUCCACGUGUAGCAGUGAAAUGCGUAGAGAUGUGGAGGAAUACCGAUGGCGAAGGCAGCCUCCUGGGAUAACACUGACGUUCAUGCUCGAAAGCGUGGGUAGCAAACAGGAUUAGAUACCCCGGUAGUCCUAUC